UACGGAGGAUGCAAGCGUUGUUCGGAAUUACUGGGCGUAAAGAGCACGUAGGCGGAUGUUUAAGUCAGGUGUGAAAGACCGUGGCUCAACCACGGGGUUGCACAUGAAACUGGGCAUCUUGAGGGCAGGAGAGGGCAGUAGAAUUCCUGGUGUAGCGGUGAAAUUCGUAGAGAUCGGGAGGAAUACCAGUGGCGAAGGCGGCCACCUGGACAGGUACUGACGCUGAGGUGCGAAAGUGUGGGGAGCAAACAGG
Molecule: ribosomal RNA, 253 nt
Filed under: uncultured bacterium
Lineage: Bacteria
Description: partial 16S ribosomal RNA
Rfam family: Bacterial small subunit ribosomal RNA
Source: RNAcentral